UACAGAGGUCUCAAGCGUUGUUCGGAUUCAUUGGGCGUAAAGGGUGUGUAGGCGGCCAGGUAGGUCUGCUGUGAAAACUCGAGGCUCAACCUCGAGACGUCGGCGGAAACCAUUUGGCUAGAGUCCGGAAGAGGAGAGUGGAAUUCCUGGUGUAGCGGUGAAAUGCGCAGAUAUCAGGAAGAACACCCGUGGCGAAGGCGGCUCUCUGGGACGGUACUGACGCUGAGACGCGAAAGCGUGGGGAGCGAACAGG
This 253-nucleotide ribosomal RNA is filed under the name uncultured bacterium. Its description in RNAcentral is "partial 16S ribosomal RNA". It matches the Rfam family "Bacterial small subunit ribosomal RNA", at positions 524 to 776 of the family's 1533-position model. The record is from RNAcentral.